Long non-coding RNA from Gallus gallus (chicken), 2825 nucleotides. RefSeq lists it as uncharacterized. Lineage: Eukaryota; Metazoa; Chordata; Aves; Galliformes; Phasianidae. The record is from RefSeq and is a predicted model, not a curated record. The transcript has 5 exons.
GGGUAUCUUGCUGGAGAUCUUUGCCUGGCUGAGACCUUCUGAAGCCAACAUGCAUAUUUAGAACUCCUGGAAGACUUUGCUUCAUGAUGACAAGACUCAACUAUUUCAGGUGGUUCUUGGAAUUCAUCAAGUAACGGAAAGUAAAAGAUAAAAAGAGUCCUGGUGAACAGCAAACUGAACAUGAGCCAGUAGAAUUCCCUAGCAGCACAGAAGGAUGUGCAGACUGCGCGGGAAACUCUCUCCCUCUGCUGAGGGCUCAUUGGACCACAUCUGGAAUAUGGCAUCCAGUUCUGUGCCUCCCAUACAGAGCAUCAGUACAGUGGAGUGAACUUAGUGGAACCACCUAGAUGAUCAGGGUGCCAGACCCCUCAAACUGUGAGAAAAGGCACGAGCUAACUGGCUUUGUUCACAGGGCAGGAAAGAAGGCUUUGGGCCAAGAGCCUGCCACUACCUACAGAGGAAGCUGUCUUCUGACAUCUUAGAUGAAGUCAGGCUCUAAAUAAUGGUACAUGGUGGCAGGAUAAGAGAAAAUAAGCAUAAACUGAAACAAGGGUGGUUCACACUGACCAUGAGGAGAAAUUUUCUUACCCUGAGGACAGCCAAUUCUGUGGUCUCCAUCUCUGGAGGUUUUCAAGACCAAGGCAGAUAAAGUCCCAAGUAUUCUGGUCUCUACAGUUGACCCUGCUCUGAGGCUAGUCUAGAGAUCUUGAGGGCCUCUUGAACCUGAAUUACUACAUGAUCCAGACCCUGGACUGUGUUAAUAAUAUGCUGUAGUUUAUAAGAAAUACAGAAACACAGUACUCUAAACCAGACAAUCUACACCAGACAAUUUGCUUCCAGUGAUCAACAACAAACCUUUAACAAUACUGCUAAUAACUAAUUAAAGUAUACUGUGAUCACGUCCCUGCAAGUCACCUCAUCAGCAGCUCUUUGUCUUCAUCUGUUCCUAUUCAGCUAGGCAAUCCACAGUUGAGAGCUUUCUGAAGUUUCAUUGCUGCCUUUACUUUCGGCAUACACCUGAAAUCAUCUCCAAAAUAGACAAGAAAUCUAGCAAAGAUGGCCAAGAACCACAUGAAUAUUUCAGACAGCAGCCAGACUGCCAGCCUCUCAGAAGUGUUUCAGUGUGAGGCAAUACAGAGACUACGGUGCAAUUAAAAGAAUCCUUAUUAGAUUUUCACACUGCUGUGAUAUAUGAUCAUAAAAAAUUCUCUACUCGCACAAAUCAAUUUGUUCAGAGAGCCACCAGCUCAUCUAAGAAAGGCCACAUGUUCAAUAUUUCCUUUUAUUACCUUGUAUUUUCACUGGACAUUCCAGUCUUGUGUUACAAAAGAGAGAAAAUAAAAGCAUCCCACAUCUUCCCUCUACCUGAUUUACUAAUAACCUCUAUGGUAUCACUUAUUUCAUAGUAUUAUAGGACAAUUAAGAUUGCAAGGAACAUGAAAGUGACUGGUCUGAUCUUCUGCUCCAAGCGCCAUCGCCUUGCUGCACCUUGACCUAUCCAUUUUUGAGUGCUCUCAAGUACCUCUUCCCCAGCCACCUGCUGGUCAAGAACCUUUUCCUAACCCCCAGCCUGAUGCCUAGCAGCAGAUGGACCACAGACUUGCAUCCUAAAUGAGAAAUAUCACACCAGGACUGCAGUAAGGGGGCAAGAGAAGCUCUCUACUGAGUAGGAAAAGUCAUGAACGUCAAGUACCAGACACCAAAUCACAGCAGCUGUUUUCUACAUAAAGAUUUUUCAGGUUUCUUUGUAUACAUUGGUAUUUAUCUCUUCCAAUAAUUUACAUUAAGGAAGUCAAAGUACAUGAAGGAUAAACAGAAGCAAAUAAAGCUUUUAUUCACAAGGAUCUAUAGAGUGACCAGUUUCACUUCAGGAUUUAUUCACAAAGACUAUGCUUGUUAGACUAAUAUGUGAUACCUAAGUUAUUAAUCUGUAUUUACCAGGUUGUCCUCCUCAGUCUUCAGCUGGGAGAAAAAAAGACAAAGAUCUGUACAAAAUCCCUGCCAGACUUGAGGAAUUUUUUUCCCCUCCAGCCACUCUUACAUUUCCUUCCUGCCACAUAUUUUGAAAGCUAAAACACAGCGUUGGAUUUUUUUUGCUCUUUUCAGCCAAGUUGGAUUUGGCAGAUCAUGAAUCAUCAACUAACAGUGAAACUCAUACCUUAAAAAAAAAAAAAAGAGGAAGUAAAAAUGUGUAAAUCAAGUCUCCUCUUCUCUUUGCUUCAAUGACUGUUUUCACUCUUAUCUGCUACAAAAGCUCAGUUUGUACUUAUGCAGGUGACAGUAGCCUGAGGAACACAGAAUCAUAACAUUUAUGCUGCAGAUUAAAGGUAAUGGAAGCAAAUCUAAAGAAAUUGUAGAUUUAAGGUGCUAACCCAAAUAUUGCUAUGCCAAAACUGAUCUCCAGGAAGCAAUCCUUGGUAAUUAAAUCUAAACAAGUCCAAGAAGGAAAAAAAAUUCUAUCCUGUUUCAUGUUAAAGAAAACUCCCAGCAUGUAAACCUUGGGAUUUUGUCAUGCGCUGCAGCAAGAAAAGCAGCUCCUACUUGAAUGCAUUAGCAGUCCUAUACAUAUACAGUGUUAUAGAUAUUCUAAGGAAUUAGUCCCAGAGAAACUCAAACCCAUCAGAAUUGAGAUUUGUGUGACUCUCGCUGAAGUAUUUUUUUGCUAAUUGCAGUUUAUUUAAAAGGAUGCCUCCAACCAAGCUGCAAUCACUGAAACGUUACAAUAAAUCAGAAGACAGCAAAUCUACUGCAGUGAAUGCUUUCUAAGCAAGUAAUCUGCUGCAAUGGAACAGCUCUCCCAACUGCUACAGCAGACUAAAUAAAAC